GGGGGUGUGGCUCAGUUGUAGAGUGCUUGUCUUGCAUACGUGAAGCCCUGGGUUCAGGCUCCAGCACUUAUA
This 72-nucleotide transfer RNA is filed under the name Neotoma lepida (desert woodrat). It matches the Rfam family "tRNA". From Rfam's summary of the family: Transfer RNA (tRNA) molecules are approximately 80 nucleotides in length. Their secondary structure includes four short double-helical elements and three loops (D, anti-codon, and T loops). Lineage: Eukaryota; Metazoa; Chordata; Mammalia; Rodentia; Cricetidae. The record is from Rfam by way of RNAcentral.